RNAcentral lists this ribosomal RNA (959 nucleotides) under Campylobacter jejuni. RNAcentral describes it as "bacterial SSU rRNA". It matches the Rfam family "Bacterial small subunit ribosomal RNA", at positions 574 to 1533 of the family's 1533-position model. Lineage: Bacteria; Pseudomonadati; Campylobacterota; Epsilonproteobacteria; Campylobacterales; Campylobacteraceae. The record is from RNAcentral.
GGCGGAUUAUCAAGUCUCUUGUGAAAUCUAAUGGCUUAACCAUUAAACUGCUUGGGAAACUGAUAGUCUAGAGUGAGGGAGAGGCAGAUGGAAUUGGUGGUGUAGGGGUAAAAUCCGUAGAUAUCACCAAGAAUACCCAUUGCGAAGGCGAUCUGCUGGAACUCAACUGACGCUAAGGCGCGAAAGCGUGGGGAGCAAACAGGAUUAGAUACCCUGGUAGUCCACGCCCUAAACGAUGUACACUAGUUGUUGGGAUGCUAGUCAUCUCAGUAAUGCAGCUAACGCAUUAAGUGUACCGCCUGGGGAGUACGGUCGCAAGAUUAAAACUCAAAGGAAUAGACGGGGACCCGCACAAGCGGUGGAGCAUGUGGUUUAAUUCGAAGAUACGCGAAGAACCUUACCUGGGCUUGAUAUCCUAAGAACCUUAUAGAGAUAUGAGGGUGCUAGCUUGCUAGAACUUAGAGACAGGUGCUGCACGGCUGUCGUCAGCUCGUGUCGUGAGAUGUUGGGUUAAGUCCCGCAACGAGCGCAACCCACGUAUUUAGUUGCUAACGGUUCGGCCGAGCACUCUAAAUAGACUGCCUUCGUAAGGAGGAGGAAGGUGUGGACGACGUCAAGUCAUCAUGGCCCUUAUGCCCAGGGCGACACACGUGCUACAAUGGCAUAUACAAUGAGACGCAAUACCGCGAGGUGGAGCAAAUCUAUAAAAUAUGUCCCAGUUCGGAUUGUUCUCUGCAACUCGAGAGCAUGAAGCCGGAAUCGCUAGUAAUCGUAGAUCAGCCAUGCUACGGUGAAUACGUUCCCGGGUCUUGUACUCACCGCCCGUCACACCAUGGGAGUUGAUUUCACUCGAAGCCGGAAUACUAAACUAGUUACCGUCCACAGUGGAAUCAGCGACUGGGGUGAAGUCGUAACAAGGUAACCGUAGGAGAACCUGCGGUUGGAUCACCUCCUUUCUA